AUGUGGCCAAUUUCUGAGAAGCCUAGGCCUGAAGCUCCAGACUAUGUCAAUGUAAGAAUGCCAGGCAGGCCAAAGAAGAAUGACAGGAGGAGGGAAGAGACUGAGAAACCUAAGCCUACCAACAAAAUGAGCAAGCAUGGCACUGUAAUUACUUGCUCACUCUACAAUACUCCUGGCCACAACAAGGGAGGUUGCAAGAAAAACCCAGAGAGAGGCAAGAAGAGGAAUGCACAUCUUGUAAGGACUACCAAAAAAGCAAGGCAUCAUAGGUAA
This 273-nucleotide ribosomal RNA is filed under the name Triticum aestivum (bread wheat). Its description in RNAcentral is "partial small subunit ribosomal RNA". The record is from RNAcentral. Lineage: Eukaryota; Viridiplantae; Streptophyta; Magnoliopsida; Poales; Poaceae.